UACGUAGGAGGCGAGCGUUGUCCGGAAUUACUGGGCGUAAAGGGCUCGUAGGCGGCCAACUAAGUCAGACGUGAAAUCCCCAGGCUCAACCUGGGAACUGCGUCUGAUACUGGAUGGCUUGAAUCCGGGAGAGGGAUGCAGAAUUCCAGGUGUAGCGGUGAAAUGCGUAGAUAUCUGGAGGAAUACCGGUGGCGAAGGCGGCAUCCUGGACCGGCAUUGACGCUGAGGAGCGAAAGCCAGGGGAGCAAACGGG
This 253-nucleotide ribosomal RNA is filed under the name uncultured bacterium. Its description in RNAcentral is "partial 16S ribosomal RNA". It matches the Rfam family "Bacterial small subunit ribosomal RNA", at positions 524 to 776 of the family's 1533-position model. The record is from RNAcentral.